Molecule: transfer RNA, 72 nt
Filed under: Caudoviricetes sp.
Lineage: Duplodnaviria; Heunggongvirae; Uroviricota; Caudoviricetes
Description: tRNA-Asp
Rfam family: tRNA
About the family: Transfer RNA (tRNA) molecules are approximately 80 nucleotides in length.
Source: RNAcentral
GGUCUAAUAGCAUAACGGUUAGUGUGCCGGACUGUCUCUCCGGUUAUCAGGGUUCGAUUCCCUGUUAGAUCG